This is a long non-coding RNA of Crotalus tigris (Tiger rattlesnake), 2320 nucleotides long. RefSeq lists it as uncharacterized. The record is from RefSeq and is a predicted model, not a curated record. The transcript has 4 exons. Lineage: Eukaryota; Metazoa; Chordata; Lepidosauria; Squamata; Viperidae.
CAAACAAAUGUGUGUGGUGGGGAAGUCAUUCUCCUUGCCUGGCAUUGAGUUCUCUCUUUCUGCACAACAGUCUCUCUUGACAGGAGGAUAGGAAGAGACAAUUACCCUUGAAAAUAAAAGAGAAGGUUUGGCCUAAUCCAAAAUACAAGCAAACUUAAAGGGCCAAUCUCUUUUCCCACCCCCAUCUCCAAAACCCACCCUAAAAAAAUAGCCAUACUUCUUUUAAAAAGGACUUUGGCCCAUUUUCUGAGUUUGAAAAUAUGAUGUAAAUAAUUACUGACAAUUACAGAGAGUUUGAAGAGACGAAACACCUCAGAGAAAAGCGAAUUCUGCAUUCAGCAAGAAUCAUCCUUCGUUGGGUCUGUAACCUGUCCCCACACAUUGCAGAACCACUUGAAUCAAUCAUCUUGGUUAAAAGGGGAAAACUAAGCCAAUUGAUUUGAAAACUUACUUCUGCAGAACGGAGAAUCCUGUUCUGGUGGCAACGAAAAUUGUUGUCCGAACUGGAAAUCAGCAUGGCUCACUGCUGAAUAGCCAUACAAAGCUUUGCUUUGGCAGUCAACUAAAAUGGUGCAGUUUGCAGAGAAAGUUACAAGUCAGGGUACACGGCGUGAAACAUAAGGAGCAAAAGAGAUGGGGAUAUUUUCUUUAGAAAUUUGCAGUAGGGAGGGAAAGUAGUUCUUGCGUUAUUAAAUGUCCAAAUUGGUUAAGACAGUCUUUCACAUUAAAAAUGCCUCAUGCAGCGCCUUAACAGUGUAGAAUUCUGCUUUUUGUACAUCAAAUCAGCAAUUCUUUCUGAAAUUGCCUGGUGAUCAAACAAUGUGGCACAGUUAUAGGAUCAUUCUAGAAAGUUCUGCAAAGAAAAAAAGAAUUUCUAUAUGAAGAAGCAUUUUUAAUGUAAAAAGAAGGGUGGGAAGGAGGGAGGCACCCCACUCAUCCAAUUAUACAUUUAGUACGAUAAGUAUAAUUUCUCCUGCACCUAGAGUAGAAUUUUAAAGAUGUUCUUCCAUUCUUGCUGAAAGGUAUAAUAGAAGGACACCUUUUUUUUUUUGUUAAAAGGAAAGAAGAGAGCAAGAUUCAGCAUACUGUAGCACAAAGGGUAUGAUUGUAGCUUCUAGCUUAGUGUGAAAAUAACAACAUAAGGAGUCCAAAUCUUUAAUCUGUAAUGGAAGUAUUAGCUGACUCUCAGACAAACAAAACAAAACAAAACAAAAAAGAAAGAAAGAAAGAAAAAAAGUAUUUCUUAGUUGUAUUCUCUCACCAUCAAACCAAUAAAUAAAACCAUUAUCUAAAGCCCCAGUCAGGCACUAUUUCAUAGAAAUAGGUCCAAAACUGGAAUAUGAUGGCAGUUACUUCUGACUAACCAUUUAUAUAAUUUUGCUGUACUUGAGGGAAUAUCCUGAAAGAUUAUUUAACUUAUACUUUGCCUUCAGACAGAUAACAUCUGUGUUAGAAAAGACCCACAGCAGAUAGUGACAGCAUUUAAACACAAGCACACAAAUAGACACACACCCACACACACAAACACAAACACAAACACACACACACACACACAAACACACGUUCCUGGCAAAUAUCUUAUCCAAACAGAUGUUUUGUCUUUGUAGUGCCAUUUUAUUUUCUAUUUUUUUUAAGAUGAGAGGCAAAGAUAAAAUAUCAGUAAGUGGACAAAGAGUUAUAUAGGCUGUGCUUAGCAUAUCACUGAUGAAAAAUCAAUCCUAAAAACGAAACAUUAUUUUUGACAAUAAAAUAAAAAAAAUAAAGGUGUUUUUGAAUUUUUGUGCUGAAUGUCAAAGUUCUUUCUCCUUUUUAGAGUGUGUCUGUGUAAUCCUUGAAUAAUAUACUUCUUCCCGAACAAAAAAGGAGAAAGAAGAAAAACUACUAAAAACAAUACAGAUAAUUAUUUAGUUUUUAAAUUGCUUUUUGUUGUACUCUGACUGGUACAAUAUUAUAAUAUUUAUAAACAUUUAAAAUUAUCAUAUAUUUAUUUCAGUUCUUUGAUUGAUUCUUUUCCCCCCUUAAAAAAUCAUACUUUAAAUGGUUAGAUUUACUUUACUAUAUAGUUUGUAUUAUACAUGGAAGCCAUUCUUAGUUAAUUUUUGGUGAAAUUUCUGUUAUACUAGUUAUUUUGUGUAUUCUCCAAGUAUAAGUUCUUAGACUGAUAUUGUCAGUACAUAUCUCUUUUCCAAUGCUCUACUAAGUUAAUCCUUGUGGUUAUCAAUAUAUUUCUUAGGAAAUUGUGAUUUUUUUUGAAUAUACGAAUAUAUAUAAAAUUGUGAUAUUUUUGCUAAUAUGUUUCAUUCAAAUUUUAUUUCUAAAG